This 88-nucleotide transfer RNA is filed under the name Planctomycetota bacterium. Its description in RNAcentral is "Planctomycetes bacterium tRNA-Leu". It matches the Rfam family "tRNA". From Rfam's summary of the family: Transfer RNA (tRNA) molecules are approximately 80 nucleotides in length. Lineage: Bacteria; Pseudomonadati; Planctomycetota. RNAcentral also lists the same sequence under 1 other name. The record is from RNAcentral.
GCGAGAGUGGCGGAAUUGGCAGACGCGCUAGGUUGAGGGCCUAGUGAGGUUUUCCCUCAUGGGGGUUCGAGUCCCCCCUCUCGCACCA